UGGCAAGAAGUGAAUAAUUUACGCCCGGUUUCGGCCCGGAUUUUGGCUGAUUUCAAGCCCUUGCUAU
Molecule: transfer RNA, 67 nt
Filed under: Planostrea pestigris
Lineage: Eukaryota; Metazoa; Mollusca; Bivalvia; Ostreida; Ostreidae
Description: tRNA-Arg
Source: RNAcentral